Molecule: long non-coding RNA, 264 nt
Filed under: Sinocyclocheilus anshuiensis
Lineage: Eukaryota; Metazoa; Chordata; Actinopteri; Cypriniformes; Cyprinidae
Description: lncRNA (ENSSANG00000028115.1)
Source: RNAcentral
GUUUAAAAGGGGAGAAAAGUUUCAGUACUUGGUGUGCAGUGCCGGUGGAGAAGUUGACAGAUCAAGCCUACAAUAAGUAGCGGAACACCGACAAGGGCUUUUUACAUUCAAGCGCUGUAUAUUGAAACUAAUCUGGAAGGUUUUCGGGAACCAUCUUAAAGAUGAAAUUCUUUCCCGCUGUCUUCGUAUUAAUUUCAGUCGCUUAAAGAUUGAAGCAGUGCUGGAGACUCUGUGAGGAAGCUAUGAGCUGCACAUUGCACCGCC